This 253-nucleotide ribosomal RNA is filed under the name uncultured bacterium. RNAcentral's name for it is "partial 16S ribosomal RNA". It matches the Rfam family "Bacterial small subunit ribosomal RNA", at positions 524 to 776 of the family's 1533-position model. The record is from RNAcentral.
UACAGAGGUCUCAAGCGUUGUUCGGAUUCAUUGGGCGUAAAGGGUGCGUAGGUGGCGCGGUAAGUCGGGUGUGAAAUUUCGGAGCUUAACUCCGAAACUGCAUUCAAUACUGCCGUGCUUGAGGACUGGAGAGGAGACUGGAAUUUACGGUGUAGCAGUGAAAUGCGUAGAGAUCGUAAGGAAGACCAGUGGCGAAGGCGGGUCUCUGGACAGUUCCUGACACUGAGGCACGAAGGCCAGGGGAGCAAACGGG